RNAcentral lists this ribosomal RNA (505 nucleotides) under uncultured bacterium. Its description in RNAcentral is "partial 16S ribosomal RNA". It matches the Rfam family "Bacterial small subunit ribosomal RNA", at positions 28 to 507 of the family's 1533-position model. The record is from RNAcentral.
GACGAACGCUGGCGGCGUGCCUAAUACAUGCAAGUCGAACGCACAGUUUAUACCGUAGCUUGCUACACCAUAGACUGUGAGUUGCGAACGGGUGAGUAACGCGUAGGUAACCUGCCUGGUAGCGGGGGAUAACUAUUGGAAACGAUAGCUAAUACCGCAUAAUAUUGAUUAUUGCAUGAUAAUUGAUUGAAAGAUGCUAUUGCAUCACUACCAGAUGGACCUGCGUUGUAUUAGCUAGUAGGUGAGGUAACGGCUCACCUAGGCGAGGAUACAUAGCCGACCUGGGAGGGUGAACGGCCACACUGGGACUGGGACACGGCCCAGACUCCUACGGGAGGCAGCAGGAGGGAAACUUCGGCAAUGGACGAAAGUCUGACCGAGCAACGCCGCGGGAGUGAAGAAGGUUUUCGGAUCGGAAAGCUCUGUUGUAAGGGAAGAACGGGUGUGAGAGUGGAAAGUUCACACUGUGACGGUAUCUUACCAGAAAGGGACGGCUAACUACGUG